Molecule: long non-coding RNA, 765 nt
Organism: Drosophila serrata
Lineage: Eukaryota; Metazoa; Arthropoda; Insecta; Diptera; Drosophilidae
Source: RefSeq, a predicted model, not a curated record
UCCUUUCUAAAUAAGUCACCUUUCUUUCAAUUAACCACAUAUCAAUUUGGUUUACUUUUUUUCGGAUUCAGUUAACUUUCAUCGGAGCUUUAGACAUGAAUACACUAAAAAUUUGUUAAUUAUGGUGCGACGGAAAGAAAAUUAUUUGGAAACCAAGCUGUGCUAGCUACUGACACUGAUAACUGCAAAGAAAUGCUAAAUGUAACGUGGACUUAAUCGAUGGCUACGGGUUAGUUAAUCAUUUUCCCUUGGACGAUCGUCCUCAGUUUUGGGAAGCUUUUCCGGUCCAGGAGGAAGGAUAAGCCUGUCAGCGAAAAUAGGACAGGAUCAAAGGAACGAAGUGUUCUUCGACUCUCAACCUGUCAGGAGGAUAUACUGAUCGGUUGCCGAUACCACUUCCUGCCAAAGAAAGCGAGGAAAUGAAAGAUAUCCUCAAUUUGGAGUGCCACGAAAAGGAUUUUGAGUCUGAUGAAGAGAAAGGGUUCCUGGAAUUGCCGUUCUAUAAGGAGGUCCCCGGCUUUUCAUCCGACGAAAAAGAGUGGUUGCCCAAUUUCCACUCCAAUGAGGAGGUCUUUCCCGAUUCGCCAUCCGAUAAAGAGGAGUUGGUUCUUAUUUGAAGGUCCAAGAGCCAAAGGAAAAGUUCCCGUUUUGCUGCUUGACCAUUAGGAAUCCCAGUUUUGCCAGAGAAGUCUGCAUCGACUUGCAGUCCGUCGAAAAAAGUCCAGGUGUCAAAAUUAAGAAAUAAAAAUUUGUUCUAGAAACUAA